Molecule: long non-coding RNA, 6088 nt
Filed under: Prunus persica (peach)
Lineage: Eukaryota; Viridiplantae; Streptophyta; Magnoliopsida; Rosales; Rosaceae
Description: long non-coding RNA (PPER_LNC004398)
Source: RNAcentral
ACCACUACAAGUCACCACCACCUCCACACUAUCACCAUAAGUCUCCACCUCCAUACCACUACAAGUCACCACCUCCACCAUCCCCUUCACCUCCUCCUCCUUAUGUCUACAAGUCUCCACACCUCCGUCACGUCACCUCUCUCAUACGUCUAUAAUCUCAACACACAUCUCAUCCCACUCUCCUUAUGUGUACAAUCUCACCACACAUCUCAUNNNNNNNNNNNNNNNNNNNNNNNNNNNNNNNNNNNNNNNNNNNNNNNNNNNNNNNNNNNNNNNNNNNNNNNNNNNNNNNNNNNNNNNNNNNNNNNNNNNNGUUGACAACAAGUGUGCUGGUGAAUAAUAAGGGUCUAGCAGAACCCUUCUUGUAAUCUGUUGUAAGCACUUAUUGUAUUACUUCUUUAAAGAGAUUAAUUGAAUCAAAUGAAAGUGAAGAACAUUAAUUUCAUGUACUUGUUAAUCUAGUAUAUGCCCCUAUGACUUUUGGGUUAAUUAGUUCUGUGCUUCUUUGUUGAAAAGUUAAUGCAUGAUAAUGCAUAUCACUUUAUCAUCGUUAUUAAAUAGUAAACAUGCAUGCAUUUUAUAAUAAAUUUGGUACCUGGAUGUUUCAAGUUGUAACCAAAGCUCAAUUGGCCAGAUACGAAAUCAAAUUUAAGAAUUGUUUAAUCUGAUAGUUGACGUGACUUACUGUUUAUGUUCAUAUGUUUGGGAAACAUUACUGCAAUUGAGUGGACAGAGAUAUGUUUAUGUCCAUUGGGCCUACUCUCGGAACUUAGCUGGCAUGAACAAAUUAAUAGUUGACUACUGGGCACUUAAACAUACCCAAAUUUUUUUAGAGGCUAUUGAUUUUGAGUAGGAAUCCCCGUUGGGUCCGGUCCCAGGCUUAAUCGGGAAGAUUUCGGGGUAAAAUUAGAGGCUGGUAUGUGAAUCUCUAAAUUUUUAAAAUUCCCUGUCAAGGAUGGUAUUGUCACUACAAAAAAAAAGUGGUAACAGUCACCAUUAUUUAGUGACAUUUGCUGGGGCGAUUAAAGGUUUUAGUCACUAAAAAAGUCUUUUUUGGUGACUUCAAAAAUGCCUUUUGUGACUAAAGCCUUUAGUCACCCCAACAAAUAUCACCAAAUAAUGGUCACUAUUGCCACUUUUGUUUUUUUGAGGUGUUAUCCCCUUCUCCAAACCCGGUCUAAUAAGGGAAAUAUUUAUUUGGGUAAAAAAACACUUUUGGCCACUAGGGUUAGAGUUGAAAACGAUUUUGGACAUGGAUCCGUUGUCCCUAUUUUUCAUGUCCCUCCAUGUCCCUUUUCUAAUUUCUUGACAAGUGUCCACCUACUUAACCCCAAACUAAUACUGUUAAUUUGUAAUAAAAUAUUUAAAAAACAUAAAAACUAAAAUCGAAAAACAAAAACCAAGCAGACACCACAACCCCGCCCCACCUCAGCAGCCCCCUGAGCCUCUCCCAUCUUCACCAUCGGCGAAGCAUCCCCUCUUAUUUGUCUCUCUUUCCUUCUUCUAUCUCACUGCCUCUCCUGAAUUUGUUCCUCUUUCCCUCCUCUUUCGUGGUGUGGGUGUGACGAGGAAUAGUGUUUCUAAGCAAUAAUAGUCAUAAUCUCAAAGUUUAAGUCAUAGUGUUUCUAAGCAAUAAUAGUCUUCAGUCACCAUUGAAUUCUACGAGGGUUUAGAUCAAAUCGGCAUCAACAAAAAUUAACAAAUAAUAUUUCAAGGGUUGUGUGACUUGCAACACUUCGUAGAAAAGAUUGGGACAAAAUUCAAAGGAGAGAUAUAUAUAUAUAUAUAUAUAGAGAGAGAGAGCUUCCAUUGAGGGAUCCCUCAAAUAACUUAUUUGAGGAAUACCCCUUGUAGGCCCCACUUCGAAUUGUAUCUCAUUCAUCCAAACAGUCUAUUUUGUAGAUACUCAUUCAAAGAUCAUCUCUACAAAAAAUCACUUGAAUCCGAUAUCAGUUGACCACUCAAUUGAGUUAUUGAAAUUUUAGUACUUUUUUGAAGCACCGUGUUCAUUGAUUUUGUAAGACACAAUUGGAUGUCGAAACGGUUUCCGAUUUGUCUAAUUUUUUGUAAGGAUAAUCUAUGAAUGAAGACCUAAAAAAUAGAUGAUUUGGAUCAUUGGAAAAAAAAAUUGUAAGGUACCCUAAAGGGCGUUCCUCAAAUAAUUUGAGGGAUCCCUCAAUAGAAGGGGAUAUAUAUAUAUUUAUAUAUUAGGAGUCUAAACCAGCGGUUUUAGUAUUUCCUCUUCAGCAAUUGGUGGGCUAUGCUUGUGUACUAGUUCUCCAAUAUCGAAUGUGUGAGGUUGAUUAUGGUAUAGGGCAGAAACAAACAUACCUUACAAGUGAAAUCACAUAGUACUAAACUGGAAUUGAAGUUCUUUUCUCUUUUUCCCCCCCUUUGGGAAGGAUAAUCUCUUUAAAUUGUACGCAGAUGUGUACAAAAUGAGUGGUUUUUGUAUUGUCUAAAACUGAGAAGGGAAAUAUUUUUGCCUAUCUUUUUGGCUCCUUUUUGUGUUUUCUUAUUUGUCGAGGAUAAUAGAAGGGUUGGUUAGAUGAGCAUCGAUCCACGACAAUGUCAACUUAGGCGGUGACCUCUUAGUUGGAAUCGAGAGUCCCUUUUUUGUUUUGGUUAGAAUGAAAACAAAGUCUGCAGUCGAUAUAUACCUUUAACUAAGUUUCCCUUGUUUUUCUUUCUUUGCAUUUGUUUUUCUUCCUUACCGACUAAUACGUACAAACAUGCAUAAGACUUUCAAUCUAAAUUUCAAACUUUUCUAGAAGUAGAGAGAGAGAGAUAGUAUAUAUAUAUAUAUUGAGCCAUCACUUGCCAAGUCUAAUGACACACAAGUAGGACACACACAUUAAAUGCAAGCUUGACCUUAAAUUUUUCUUCCCUCUUACACACAAGGGCCGAUUGAGUGAAAAUAAAAAUAAAAAAUUGAUUUAGAGAGACCAAAAUAUUAAAGAAAAUUUGAUAUUUCUCAAAAUUUUCAAUGUCUAAUAUAUUUUUUUAUUAAAUAUAUGUAAUAUAGUUUAUGUAAUUAACUUACUAUAAAUUUAUAUAAACAAAAACCAUAAUUUGCAGGGUAGUACAAAUAUCCACAAAUAAUUAAUACAAAGAUAGAAGCAUAGUAAGCACGUAAGGUUAAUCCAGAUACAUAGAAAGACACAGUACCGAGAACAUCAAGCGCACAAGGUGUAUCUCCACUAAUUAAUAGCCACAUAAUGCCAAAGAAAUUUUUGCAUAAAAGCUACAAGACUGCAUAAGACAGACAUGAACCGCAGUGCGUAAAACUACCAACACAACUGCAACUUUUAAACUCUCGCAAGUAGAACUUAUAAGUAAGUACCUAGACUACAAACAAACACCCAACUUACAAGAAUUGAUGAAAUUAUUACAACUCAAGAAUAUAUAAACACACAACAAGUGAGUAAAAGUUGCUAAGCCACUAAGCCACCUUGUAUGUCUCUAAAUUUGGCAACGAAACCACCAGUGCAUUGCUACUUCAUCGUCACCAAAGAUUCCAAUGAAAGCCAAAUCACAAGGCUGGGUUUUUUUUUUUUUUUGGAGAAAAACUUAGGUUGGUUUUAUUACUAGAGAAUUCGAAUGGCACAAUUGCUUUUCAGGUUCUCCAUCUUAAUUUGUAAUAGAAGUAACACAUUUAAAAGAUUUAUUUUUCUAGCUCUCAUAAAUAUGGAUGAGGUGAAACCAGCCAAAAGUUCCUCAGUCACACGCUAAACUGAAUAUCUUUAAACCUUAUUACUCUAGGUUGGUAAAAGAAUUUUCUCUUUUUAAUUCUUUGGUGCAACUCGAUCUCUUCUUUAUAGUUUUUUGAGAGUCGAUCACUUUUGACAAAGUGCCAAGUUGCCAACUAUGCUCCUAUUUACAUUACAUUGAAUAAAGAAAAAGAUAAUAUAGUGAGGAUAGAAUAGUUAUUAUCAGUUAUUCUAAAAUAAAAUAAAAUAAAACAAACUAAAAUUAUCCAUAUGUUUCUCCCACAAUUUUUUGUCACUAUUUCUUAUUAUCUACUUCUCGAGCAAUAAUUGUCUCACAUACAAAGCAUUCUAGUAAUAGUAAUAUAAGGACUAAUGAACUAAUGCAAAAACAUUAAGGGCCCUUAAUUGAGUUCGGCAAUUCAAAUCCAAAAAUUCAAUUGGCAAAGUACAAUGUGUGUUUAUUUAUUUGGGUUAAAUAUUUUUUUGGUCACUAGAAAAAAAUUCAGCCAAAUUGGUCACUGUGUUUUCCGAAGUAUACAAUUUAUUGACAUUCUGUUAUCUUUCAUUAAUUGCAGUUUUUUUUAAAAAAAAAAAAAUAGGAAUCACCUUCUGUCUUCUUCCUUUAACUCAACAAGUUAUGGUAUAUUGUGCUAUUAGAGUUCAGCAAAUUGGGGGAAAUCUUGGGUUGAAAUCGAAAUCGUGAGGCAUGAGGAAAAUCAAAAGGCCAAACCAAAUUAAAAUGAAAUCAACAACUUACUAAUAUAUUUUGGUGCUCUAUCACAUUGAUUGUGUCUCCUUGUCAUCCGAAGUCACAAUACAAUUCUCACUCAAUCGAUUCAGGCUUCAAUAUAAUACCCAAUUAUUCGUGACCUUAUACCUCAUCAUUUCGAUUUCAACCCAAAAUUUCCCCCCAUCUUUAAAACUCUUAUAGCACAAUAACCUAACUUGUUGAGUUAGCGAGUUAGAGGAAGAAGACUUGAACGUGCUUCUUGGAAAUAUAAAAAUAAAAACUGCACUUAAUGGAAGUUAACGGUAGAUAACAAAAUGUCUAAAUUGUAAACUUAUGGAAAUAUUGUGAUCAAUCUGACUAAAUUUUUUUCUGAAUGACUAAAUUGAAUUUCCGUGUAAUGACCAAAAAGAUAUUUAAUCCUAUUUAUUUUUAUGAAGCAAAACUCUAAUGUUAAUGGAUGAAAGCUUUACACCUUUUAAUUAGCUAAGCACUUUUGAUAAUCCAGUAAAGUAUUUUUCAUAAUGGGUCAAAGUGUUCAGUUAUAUGCAAGCUAGCGUUCGAACUUUACCUUUUUUUACCAUAUAUAUUUAUUAUUACUUCACUAGUUGCUGGAGAACAGACCAACCCUUUUCAUUUUCACUCUCCAGCCGUACAACACUUACCUACCACACGGUUUGACUUGUCCAUGGCCUUCAUGAAAGAUCAAAGUUGAAAAAUCUUUGUGGGAACCCAAAUUCACUGGUUGAAGCAUGCGAGUUCAACUGAUUGGCAUUUCAAAAUCUCAAAGUCACAUUUGGUAGAAAACUUAAAGCAUCAAUCCAGCCAAUUAUGCUGAAUAAGCAAACAUGUCUUAUUCAAAGAUGAUGUCAAAGAUUGCUAUAAAAGGGAUAGCUUUCUCACCAUUUCCAACCACCUCACUCACAAAACAAGUUCUAAGAACUACAAUUUGUGGCAGAAAUGAGAACCUCAGGACAGCUGAGGCAUUGCCCUACAAUGUUUUAUGCCUUGGCAUUGUGCCUCUUGGCCACAAGUGUGCUUGCCACUACGCCUUAUACUUAUUCUUCACCACCUCCACCAAAGCACUUGGAGACCCCUCCAACCCAUUACAAGUCCCCCCCACCACCGAAGUAUGUAAAACAUCCACCACCUCCAUCACCAUCACCCCCGCCACCCUAUUAUAAGUCUCCACCACCGCCUUCUCAUUCGCCGCCUCCUCCUUAUGUGCACAAAUCUCCUCCACCACCCACUCACUCACCACCUCCACCAUAUGCUUACAAGUCACCACCUCCCCCUUCUAAAUCACCACCUCCUCCUUAUGUCCACAAAUCUCCUCCUUAUGUCCACAAGUCACCACCUCCACCAUCAUAUUCUCCUCCACCUCCUUACCACUACAAGUCACCACCACCACCAUCUCCAUCACCUCCCCCUCCAUACCACUACAACUCUCCUCCUCCUCCAGUGAAGUCACCUCCACCUCCCCAAUAUCACUACAAAUCACCUCCACCUCCAAAACACUACUAAGCUUUAUGGGAUUUUAGCGACUUGAACCAGUCCAAAUAAGGUCUUCGUUUCGAUGUUCCAGCGGUAUCACUUCUUUUUCUAGCUUUGUUCUAUUCGCAGACAAGUGUGUUUGUGAAUAAUAAAGGUC